Molecule: transfer-messenger RNA, 378 nt
Filed under: Saccharimonadales (SeqCode)
Lineage: Bacteria; Candidatus Saccharimonadota; Candidatus Saccharimonadia
Also listed under: 1 other name
Description: Nanogingivalis sp015257795 Standard tmRNA
Rfam family: transfer-messenger RNA
About the family: Bacterial tmRNA, also known as 10Sa RNA or SsrA, is named for its dual tRNA and mRNA-like properties. Its role is to liberate the mRNA from a stalled ribosome. To accomplish this part of the tmRNA is used as a reading frame that ends in a translation stop signal.
Source: RNAcentral
GGGGCUGAAUUAGCUUUAGACAAGAGGAAUUUAACAGUUUAGCUUGCAAGUCGUUUACUACGUAAAGUAAUAAAAUAAAUGCAAAAAACUUUGCAGCUCGAGUUGCAGCAUUCUUUGCUCCAGCUCCAGCAACAAUUGCCGCUUAAUUUUUUGGCAAUCAUUUUUUAAAACAGGGCAGUGCGUGUUUUAAAAAGUGUCAUAUAUUUUUCACUGAUAGUUUAAAACCUUGCGAUAAGUUUUAAAUGAGAUUUUUUUCGCAACUUUUAAUGUAUUUUUGUUUAUUUUUAGAGCAUUAAAUUUUAUUUAGAAUAGACUAAGCUUGUAGAAGGCUAAAAUGUUACCUUUUGGACCCGAGGGCAGUUCUCGGCAGCUCCACCA